AUGGAACGCUGGCGGCAUGCCUUACACAUGCAAGUCGAACGGUAACAGGUCUUCGGAUGCUGACGAGUGGCGAACGGGUGAGUAAUACAUCGGAACGUGCCUAGUAGUGGGGGAUAACUACUCGAAAGAGUGGCUAAUACCGCAUGAGAUCUACGGAUGAAAGCAGGGGAUCGCAAGACCUUGUGCUACUAGAGCGGCCGAUGGCAGAUUAGGUAGUUGGUGGGAUAAAAGCUUACCAAGCCGACGAUCUGUAGCUGGUCUGAGAGGACGAUCAGCCACACUGGGACUGAGAAACGGCCCAGACUCCUACGGGAGGCAGCAGUGGGGAAUUUUGGACAAUGGGCGCAAGCCUGAUCCAGCAAUGCCGCGUGCAGGAUGAAGGCCUUCGGGUUGUAAACUGCUUUUGUACGGAACGAAAAGCCCCGGGUUAAUACCCUGGGGUCAUGACGGUACCGUAAGAAUAAGCACCGGCUAACUACGUGCCAGCCGCCGCACGUAA
Molecule: ribosomal RNA, 499 nt
Filed under: uncultured bacterium
Lineage: Bacteria
Description: partial 16S ribosomal RNA
Rfam family: Bacterial small subunit ribosomal RNA
Source: RNAcentral